AUGUGACUCUUUAGUCAGGAGCACUGACCAUUUCUCCCUUAUAUUGUCAAAUAAAAAAAUGACAACAGCCAACACUGCAAUAGCCAUCUGGUGUGAAUGCCCUGUCUUAAACCAUAAAUACAUAGAUCAUAUAGUAGAGUUGCAUCGUAUCAGUCAUGUUGCAGAACAAGGUUGCAUGUGAUUGGUUAAUUCUUGGUAACAGAAAUCCUUACAUACAAGUCUAGGCACCUGAUUUUUUAAAAAAGAUUUUAUUUAUUUAUUUUUAGGGAGGGAAGGAAGGGGGGGAG
This is a long non-coding RNA of Phyllostomus discolor (pale spear-nosed bat), 287 nucleotides long. RefSeq lists it as uncharacterized. The transcript has 3 exons. The record is from RefSeq and is a predicted model, not a curated record. Lineage: Eukaryota; Metazoa; Chordata; Mammalia; Chiroptera; Phyllostomidae.